UUUUAUUUUAUUUUUUAUCUUUUUUUUAAUAAAAAUAUUUUAUCUUUUAGUAUUUAGAAUUAAUAUUUUUUAAUAAUAGUUUAGUUAACUGUGAAGGUUAAUUAUUUAUUUAAUUAAAAGUAUUCUUUUUUUGAUGUACCUUUUGCAUCAGGGUUUAUUAAUUUAAGUUAAUUAUUUAUUUUUCUCGAAAUCUUAAGUUUAAAUCCAAAAUGUUUUUUAUUGUUAUAUAUAUAUUUGUAAUUUUGGUUUAGAAGUGAAAUACUUUUCAUUUAAGGUUAUAUCUAGUUUUUUAAUAAUUAAAUUUAAUUUAGUUUAUUUAAGUUUUUAUAAUUUUGAUUAUAUUUAAUUUAAAUAAUAAAAUUAAUUGGGGAUAAGCUCGAUUAAUUUUUUAAAAAUUCUUCUUUUUUAAAUUUUUUAUAGGAUUGAUAAUUUCCAUUUUUAUUUUUUUAUAAUUAUAUUUUUAUUUUUAAGAUUUUUUUAUUUUUAAUUUUUUAUUAAAAUAAUUUUUUUAAUUUAUAAUUUUUUACAAUUAUGAUAAAAUUAGUAAUUUUUAAAAUUUAAAUAUAGGAACUCGGCAAAACCAAUUUUCACCUGUUUAACAAAAACAUGGUUUUUUGAUUUUAAUUUAAAAUCAGGCCUGCCCAUUGAUUAAAAAAAUUAAAAGGCUGCGGUAUUUUAACUGUACGAAGGUAGCAUAAUCAUUUGUCUUUUAAUUGAAGGCUAGUAUGAAUGGUUUGAUGAAAAAUUUUCUUUCUUUAUUUAAUUAUUUUGAAUUUAAUUUUUAAAUUAAAAAGUUUAAAUUUUUUUAUAGGACGAGAAGACCCUAUAGAAAUUUAUUUUCUUUAUAAAGUUUUUUUUUGGUUUUUAAAAGAUUUAUUUAGAAUGGGAAAUUUUGUUGGGGUGACAGUAAAAUUUUAAUAACUUUUAUUUAUUUUUUCAUUAAUUUAUGUUUUGAUCCAGUUUUAUUGAUUAUAAGAUUAAUUUACCUUAGGGAUAACAGCGUUAUUUUUCCGGAGAGUCCUAAUCGAUGGAAAUGUUUGCGACCUCGAUGUUGAAUUAAGAUAAGUUUCGGGGGGAGUUUUUCGAACUUCUUGGUCUGUUCGACCAUUAAAUUCUUACAUGAUUUGAGUUCAGACCGGUGUGAGCCAGGUCGGUUUCUAUCCUUAUUUUUUUCAUAAUUUAGUACGAAAGGACCAUUUAUGACAAUUAGAAUUGUUUUUUUAGAAUAAAAUUAAAAAAAAAAAAAAAUA
Molecule: ribosomal RNA, 1250 nt
Filed under: Rhagovelia obesa
Lineage: Eukaryota; Metazoa; Arthropoda; Insecta; Hemiptera; Veliidae
Description: partial 16S ribosomal RNA
Rfam family: Archaeal large subunit ribosomal RNA (bases 993-1152)
Source: RNAcentral